Molecule: ribosomal RNA, 1096 nt
Filed under: uncultured bacterium
Lineage: Bacteria
Description: bacterial SSU rRNA
Rfam family: Bacterial small subunit ribosomal RNA
Source: RNAcentral
AGAUAGAGUUUGAUCCUGGCUCGGAUGAACGCUGGCGGCGUGCUUAACACAUGCAAGUCGAACGCUGAAGCCCCAGCUUGCUGGGGUGGACGAGUGGCGAACGGGUGAGUAACACGUGAGUAACCUUCCCUUGACUCUGGGAUAAGCCUGGGAAACCGGGUCUAAUACCGGAUACGACCUGCCACCGCAUGGUGGGGGGUGGAAAGAUUUAUCGGUCUUGGAUGGACUCGCGGCCUAUCAGCUGGUUGGUGGGGUAAUGGCCCACCAAGGCGACGACGGGUAGCCGGCCUGAGAGGGUGACCGGCCACACUGGGACUGAGACACGGCCCAGACUCCUACGGGAGGCAGCAGUGGGGAAUAUUGCACAAUGGGCGCAAGCCUGAUGCAGCGACGCCGCGUGAGGGAUGACGGCCUUCGGGUUGUAAACCUCUUUCAGUAGGGAAGAAGCGCAAGUGACGGUACCUGCAGAAGAAGCGCCGGCUAACUACGUGCCAGCAGCCGCGGUAAUACGUAGGGCGCGAGCGUUAUCCGGAAUUAUUGGGCGUAAAGAGCUCGUAGGCGGUUUGUCGCGUCUGCCGUGAAAGUCCGGGGCUUAACCCCGGAUCUGCGGUGGGUACGGGCAGACUGGAGUGCAGUAGGGGAGACUGGAAUUCCUGGUGUAGCGGUGAAAUGCGCAGAUAUCAGGAGGAACACCGAUGGCGAAGGCAGGUCUCUGGGCUGUUACUGACGCUGAGGAGCGAAAGCAUGGGGAGCGAACAGGAUUAGAUACCCUGGUAGUCCAUGCCGUAAACGUUGGGCACUAGGUGUGGGGGCCAUUCCACGGUUUCCGCGCCGCAGCUAACGCAUUAAGUGCCCCGCCUGGGGAGUACGGCCGCAAGGCUAAAACUCAAAGGAAUUGACGGGGGCCCGCACAAGCGGCGGAGCAUGCGGAUUAAUUCGAUGCAACGCGAAGAACCUUACCAAGGCUUGACAUGUUCCCGACCGCCACAGAGAUGUGGUUUCCCCUUUUGGGGCGGGUUCACAGGUGGUGCAUGGUUUGUCGUCAGCUCCGUGUCGUGAAAAUGUUGGGUUUAAGUCCCCGCAACCAAGCGCAACC